This 486-nucleotide ribosomal RNA is filed under the name uncultured bacterium. RNAcentral's name for it is "bacterial SSU rRNA". It matches the Rfam family "Bacterial small subunit ribosomal RNA", at positions 28 to 507 of the family's 1533-position model. The record is from RNAcentral.
GAUGAACGCUAGCGGCAGGCUUAAUACAUGCAAGUCGAGGGGCAGCGCGGGUAGCAAUACCUGGCGGCGACCGGCAAACGGGUGCGGAACACGUACGCAACCUUCCCGAAACUGGUGAAUAGCCCUCCGAAAGGAGGAUUAAUACACCAUAACAUAGUGAAGCGGCAUCGCUUUAUUAUUAAAGUAGCAAUACGGUUUUGGAUGGGCGUGCGCCUGAUUAGAUAGUUGGCGGGGUAACGGCCCACCAAGUCUACGAUCAGUAACUGGUGUGAGAGCACGACCAGUCACACGGGCACUGAGACACGGGCCCGACUCCUACGGAAGGCAGCAUUAAGGAAUAUUGGUCAAUGGACGAAAGUCUGAACCAGCCAUGCCGCGUGAAGGAUGAAGGCCCUCUGGGUUGUAAACUUCUUUUAUAGGGGACGAAAAAAGGGAAUUCUUUCUCACUUGACGGUACCCUAGGAAUAAGCACCGGCUAACUCCGUG